RNAcentral lists this ribosomal RNA (254 nucleotides) under uncultured bacterium. RNAcentral describes it as "partial 16S ribosomal RNA". It matches the Rfam family "Bacterial small subunit ribosomal RNA", at positions 524 to 776 of the family's 1533-position model. The record is from RNAcentral.
UACGUAGGGUGCGAGCGUUGUCCGGAAUUAUUGGGCGGAAAGAGCUCGUAGGCGGUCUGUCGCGUCGAUCGUGAAAACUUGGGGCUUAACCCUGAGCUUGCGGUCGAUACGGGCAUGACUGGAGUUCGGCAGGGGAGACUGGAAUUCCUGGUGUAGCGGUGAAAUGCGCAGAUAUCAGGAGGAACACCGGUGGCGAAGGCGGGUCUCUGGGCCGAUACUGACGCUGAGGAGCGAAAGCGUGGGGAGCGAACAGG